CCUGUUACUGAUUCUAUCACAGCACAAAUCAUAUGAUAAUGCAAUUAUUUGUUCCUAUGGCUGAGAACCCCACAGACUGUGAGCUCCUUGAGGACAGGUGAUGUGUCAUACCACCUUUACACUCUUCGGGUCUCCCUCUGAUAAAGGCAUGGGUUUUGCUGCAAGAGAAAAGAAGCUCUUCAAAUCUCAGAGGCAUCUUUCAAGGAUCCCGAAGACAAGGCUUCUCGAGCCAGGUCCAGCGAGCGUGUCAAGCUGUCAAAUGCAACCUUCACUCAAAUAUUCCACGACUGCAGCGGGAGACACAAGUCGGCAGAUCUCUGGUUCCUCACUUAUCCUGGAGGAAGUCCAGAUCCAGCAGGAAUGCAUGGAGGGGUGAGGUGAACGGUGAAAGCAGUAACUGAGGACUGGGUCUGUUGGCUUCUGGAUUCUUCCCAUGGCUACUCUCUCUACGUCUGAAUUCAUUCUGCUUAUAAAGGGCUCUAGUCAUCUGGAUUGAAAACCAACCUGAUUCAGUGGGGCUACACCUUAACUGAAGUAGCAUCUUCACGAGAUCCUAUUUACAGUCGGUCCACACGCACCAGAACGAGAACCAAGAACAUGUCCCAACUGGGGUACCCAAUUUGAACCACCACAUCCGCUCUUAAAUAUACAUUUUUCUUUAGGAGUUCUGUAGGGGACACUGUUGAUGUGCCACCCAGGUUUCUGGGAUCCCCUUUACCACGUCUGUGCACCCUGUCCCCAGGCUAAGUGUGCUUUUGUCUCCAAAGGACAUAUUGCUGCUCUUUUUUUGUGGAUUUUCUUGGUGCAAAGAGCCAGAAAUGUCUGGGAGAUGGAAAGGUUCAGGAGUAAGGAAGCCCAGCCCCCAGGUCAGCAUGACUCUGAGAUCUAAUUAAAUUACCAAUCUUGAGGUCCCAAGCAGGAUCAGUCCUCCCGGGACUUUAGCUAAAUUCUGAAUCUGCACAUUUGCAUUGCUGCUGCUUCUUCUCUGCCCUGCUCCCUCAACUCUCUUCCUAGUCUCCCCUGAGAUUUGCCUAAUAAAUCGCUUGCACAUGAAUUCUCAUUUCAAGGUUGACUUCUGGGGACCCAAUCUUUCCAUAACUCCAGCUUCAUCACCUGUGACUCAGAUCCCCGAAGGUGCCCACUGUGAGUUGGUGGGACAUGGGGCCCAGGGAUUCAAAUUUGCCGGUGCCAAGUCCGAAGGCAAAGAGGCCUCUGAAGGACCUUGCACUGGCACUGAAAUGCUCGGGCCUGGAAGUAAGACUCUUCACUUCUUGUCACAACACAUUGCCCAGAACCAGCCUCCUGGCCCCACCCAACCACAAGAAGCUGCCAUGAUGGAGAGGCCCAAGUGACAAGGAAAUGGGGACAGCAUCAGGACACCAACCAGGAAGGGACUGAGAAUCUCAGCCCAACAAGGCUGAGUCGCAAGGAACUGAGUUCUUCUGUCAAAUGUUCAGUGACUUGGAAGCAGAUCCUUUCCCAAUGGAUCCUUGAGAUGAUGGCAGCCCCGGCCAACCCUCCGAUGGCAGCCGUGUGGAAGACUCUGAGCCAGGGGCACACAGCUGAGACAUGCCUGGAUUCCCGACUCACAGAAACUGUGAAAUAAUAAAUGUAUGUUGUUUUAAGCCCCAAGUUUGGGGAUAAUUUGUAACGUAGCAAUAGAUAGCUAAUGCAAACACCAACUACACACCGAGUAUUUUGCUGGUAUAAAAGCCACAAGUUGCCUUAAAGAGAUAAUCCUGCUGCCACCACACUGUCCCCACCCUUAACCCCACUCCUUUAAGCAAGGACAACACAUGCAGUAAAUCCAGUCUGCCCAUGCUCAGGGUGGCUGUUUUAGAACACCUAUAUGCCUUCCUUUAUCUCAAUCUUCCUCAUGCUUGAUGAACUCUACUUGAGCUGUUUUUAAAGACUGUACACAUGCCUGUUUCCCACUCCUAUUCUAUUUUUUUGUAUUGGAAGGCAGUUUUAUGCAAUGUUAAAAGAACAGAUUCUGUAGCCAGAUUGCCUGGGAGUCAAGCUUAGUCCCACCAUUUACUAACUAUUUGCUUUUAGGAACAUUAUUCCACUACUCUGUCUUCGGUUUUCUUACAUGAAAAAUGGGGAUAACAAUAGCAUUUGGAUUGUGGGAGGAUAAAGUGAGGUAUCACGUGUACAGAACAUAGCUUAGUGGCUGGGAAGUGGGUAAAUACUUAAUGUUUGUUAGCCAUCAUUAAUCUCAGACUUCACACCUCAUUGUGUAGGUAAAGUAUUUGUAUCUGGUGAGUAUCUCCAUGCUCUCAGUGCUGUUCUAGGUCUCUGCAAUUAUACUAAGUCUAAAUUAGCAAAUUAGGGACAGCCAGGUCCAUGAAAGCCACAAAUGAGAUCAACUACGGGCAUUCCUUGUUUUAUUGUAUUUCACUUCA
Long non-coding RNA from Choloepus didactylus (southern two-toed sloth), 2405 nucleotides. RefSeq lists it as uncharacterized. The transcript is spliced from 6 exons. NCBI's taxonomy places the organism in Eukaryota, Metazoa, Chordata, Mammalia, Pilosa, Megalonychidae. The record is from RefSeq and is a predicted model, not a curated record.